Molecule: ribosomal RNA, 1978 nt
Filed under: Triticum aestivum (bread wheat)
Lineage: Eukaryota; Viridiplantae; Streptophyta; Magnoliopsida; Poales; Poaceae
Description: partial small subunit ribosomal RNA
Source: RNAcentral
GAUGGAGCACUGAUGCUGCCCACCGCCAGGAAUCACCAACGUGAGAACGUCUACAUUGACUGCUCCACAGUACUGCACCUCCAGCGACCGGUCUCAAGUUUGGUAAUGGUGUGUUCAAAAAAGUUUGGUAAUGGUAAAUUGAUGAUUAUGUUUGAAGUUAAGUAUGCUAUUUUCUGUUUCUAUUUAAUUUUUCAAUAGUAAAGUUUGACAUCACUAGUUUAGAUCCUGGCACCGCCACUGUCCGGCGACCACCGACCACCUCCGGCCACCGCUACUCCUUCCCUCUCCUGUGAUCGCGCCGCGCGCCGGCGGUCAGACCUACGGCUUCCCGAUCUACUGCGCCUCCUGGCUCCCACUCGCACACAUCAUCAAGCCCUCCCCAUCCGCCGACGAUGUCGUGGAUACGGACGCGUCCCCGGCCCCGUCCUCCCCACCUCCGCCCCCCAUGGUGGCACUUGGUGGAGGCGGAGGCGAGGGCCGGAGCGGCGUGCCCAACGCGCUGGUCGUCGCCGCCCUCGACCCCGGCGCUGCAGGGGCGCCUCCAGCGCUCUCACCCGAGCCCUGUUUAGGCUGGGGACAGAGGAGCAGGUACCAUACAGGAUGGCCGUACACCCCCGCGGCGAUGGCGUCCUCUGCGCCUUCCCCAACGGCUGCAGGUUGGUGCGGUGGGAAUCACCAGAAGGAGAUGAUCAACAUAGCCUAGUUUUGAGAUCUGACCAGGAGGCUCUAGUGAAGCUAAAUGAUGUUGGUUUACAGUUGGCUGUGUCAUUCAGCGGAGAGGGCUCAAUACUUGCCACCGGUGGCGAGGAUGGACAUUUGAGGGUCUUCAAAUGGCCUGGCAUGGAAACCGUUAUUGAAGAACCUAAUGCUAAAACAUCUGUUAAGGAUCUUAGUUUCAGUUCCGAUGAGAUGUUUCUAGUUGUGAACAGGAGCAGUGGCCCAUCUAGAGUGUGGGAUUUAAAGUCAUCUGAAGCUUUGGCUAAUCUGCCGAGAGAACAAGGAGAAAUAUUUGGCUUCUGCCGAUUUUCUACUAAGUCUGACAAUAGUCAGAUUCUCUUUGUUACAGCAAUGCAAGGUGUCGUCAUGAUUUGAAUCACCCUGUUAUGAAUGAAAUGUUUUGAAGUUCUCUUAAAAAAAUGAACGGAAUUGCCUGGUAAACCUCAGACCUGACAGUUACAAUACCCUGCUUCUUAGGUGAUUACGGGAAUGAAAUGUUUUGAAGUUCUCUUAAAAAAAUGAACGGAAUUGCCUGGUAAACCUCAGACCUGACAGUUACAAUACCCUGCUUCUUAGGUGAUUACGGGAAAAUAAUAUCUUGGAAUACCUCCUCAUGGACAAGAAUUGGAUCAAAGAAAGUAACUCGUGAUGUGAUUUCAGCUUUUUCAGUCUCGCCUGAUGGUACACUUCUAGCAAUUGGAAAUAUUGAGGGAAGCAUCAGUGUUCUAGGUUCAAGAGACAUGCGAGUGGUUCUAACAGUUAAAAAGGCGCAUCUUGGCAUUGUUACUACGUUAGUGUUUUCUCAAGAUUCAAGGGCCUUGCUGUCGACUUCCUUUGACUCAACCGCAAGGGUGACAUCGACUGAAUCACCCAAGAGUGAUGGUAUAAGCCUCUGGUCCAUGGUACUAGCUAUUAUACUCGGAAUUUUGGUAUAUUACUAUAUGCAGCACAAAGAAGAUCUCUUAGCAAUGUUGCCACAAUGAAAUUUUUGUUCAGCCUCUACUGCUACCUCACUGCUUACCUCUGUGAUUAUCUGAUCUUGUAUUGGAGAUAAAUGCUGUAUCGUGUCAGAGCUAGAGCAGUUUUUUGUAUUUAGGUGAAAGAAAAACGACUCAAAAACAUCCAGAUCUUUUUUAUCAUGUCACGCUGGUAUAAGAAGGCCAUCUUCUCCGGCUUUGUAAAAUCGGUGGCGAUUUAAGAACGCCCGUGUGUUGCUACGGCCUAUACAAUGUGCAUAUAAAUGCAUUAUACAAAUGAUUAA